This 726-nucleotide ribosomal RNA is filed under the name uncultured archaeon. Its description in RNAcentral is "bacterial SSU rRNA". It matches the Rfam family "Archaeal small subunit ribosomal RNA", at positions 126 to 859 of the family's 1478-position model. The record is from RNAcentral.
AUAACCUCGGGAAACUGAGGAUAAUACUUGAUAGAAAAUUUUUUCUGGAAUGAGAAAUUUUUUAAAUUCGAGCCUAAGGAUGGGGCUGCGGCUGAUUAGCUAGUUGUUGGUGUAAUAGACUAACAAGGCGAUGAUCAGUAAGGGCUCUUAGCGGAGAGGCCCUGAGAAGGAAUCUGAGACACUAUUCCUAGCUCUACGGGGUGCAGCAGUCGAGGAAAUUUUUCAAUGCCCGCAAGGGUGAACGAGUAAGCCAGAGUGUUUUCUUUACGAAAACUUUUGUCUGUUGUAAAAAGACAGACGAAUAAGGACUGGGCAAGACCGGUGCCAGCCGCCGCGGUAAUCCCGGCGGUCCAAGUCGCAUCCACAAUUAUUGGGUCUAAAACAUCCGUAGCUUGUUUUGUAAGUCUCUUGUGAAAUUUCAUAUCUCAAAUAUGAAGCGUGCAAGAGAUACUACAUUGCUAGAGACUGGAAGACGCAAAGAGUACGACGGAGGUAGCGGUAAAAUGUGUUAAUCUCUGCCGGACUAACAAUGGCGAAGGCACUUUGCGAGUACAGAUCUGACAGUGAGGGAUGAAGGCUAGGGGCGCAAAAGGGAUUAGAUACCCCUGUAGUCCUAGCAGUAAACACUGCUCACUAAACAUCAGUACCUCCUCGAGAGGUAUUGGUGCUGUAGGGAAGCCGAAGAGUGAGCUACCUGGGAAGUAUAGUCGCAAGACCGAAACUUAA